This is a long non-coding RNA of Musa acuminata subsp. malaccensis (wild Malaysian banana), 1950 nucleotides long. RefSeq lists it as uncharacterized. Lineage: Eukaryota; Viridiplantae; Streptophyta; Magnoliopsida; Zingiberales; Musaceae. The record is from RefSeq and is a predicted model, not a curated record.
UUUUGGAUAAGACGUGGUCGUGGGCAAAUGGCUCAAAAUCGUUCGCCACUGUUCUGUGGUUGUUCGCUUCCCGAAGCUUCGCCCUUCUCUGUCUCGAUCGCUAUAUCAGGUCUCUCUCUUUAGCUUCGCUGUUGGUUUCGAUCAAACCACCCAUUCUUCGUUGGAAUGGUUGAGAUCUGGAAGUUUAUUGGCUUCCGAUCCAAAUUGGUUCUUUAUACGAAUCUACCUGGUUGGAGCUGAUGGAUCUCGGAGAGUCUAUGUCAUCAAACCGCGGUUUGCAUGGGAUUGCUUGUUGGCGCUUUUGCAUGAGCGCGACUGGUUGACAACGAGAGAGAGCACGCCGGUCCGCGGCCCAUGCCGGCUUCCAUGGUCCUGUACUAGCGUGCUCCUUCUUGUUGUCAACCUGGUUCGCAUCACCAGACAUCCUUCUCUUUUUCUUUGUCAGAUGAAGUGUUGCAUCUGAUUGGGUACGUUUUGCUUGCCUCACGCUUCAUUCGUUAAUUCAGUUGUUCGCUCCAAUCCAUGAUGUUUCUCCAUUAAUUUACUCAUGUUAGCGUCUAAAGCUAAGGUAUGCCUAAGCUAGCUAAAUACUGCAAACUAUUUGUGGUGAUAUCUCCUUGCUGAUGUCUGAUGAAUCUUAUGUUACUUUACAUGCUGGUAAUUUAGUGCUUGUUUUUGUUUACCUCCUUCGACCUCAGUCAUGUUAGUGAUGGUACAGAUAUACAAGAUCGUUGGAACUGAGAAAUGAUAUCUUGUAUUAUAUGUUGUGAAGGAUACUCCUGUUCCUUCUGAAGGAUUUCUUGAAGAAAGAAUUAACACUAUCUGUGCAUAAAUAUACCUUUGUGAACUGGUGCCUGAAUCUUUUCAGAAAUUGGAGGACCAUGAUGGGAAUGUCCAUUCUUCUCCAGAGUAUAGGAACAGAUCUUUUUUUCAAUUACCUAUGUUGAUGCUAAUUGUCGUAGGGACAUAUGAUCCAGUUUCAAACUGUUCAAAUCACAAGAUUCCAGUCUUAUAUUGAGUUAUUUCAUGAGGAAAACAAGAUCCAUCCAUGUUUUUGUUCGCUUGUAUGUAUUCUCUUAUAGGUCUGAAGAUAAGUAUCACAACAUCUUUGUUGAACUUGAAGGGAAGCUGUUGAAGAACCAAUCUUUCCAACCAGUGCAAAAGAUCUACCUAGCAUUGGUAUAUAAAUCAUGGAUGUUCAAGGAGCAUAUUUAAUUUGUAGCGUAUGAUUUCCGAGACAAGGUCCAAAAGGUCAAGGAAUUCUUUGUAAUGUUUUGUGGAAUGUGAUAUUCGAAUGUAGAAGCGGAGAAGGCAUUAGAAUUCCACGUCGGUUCCAGAAACUUCCGCAGAGUAAAAAAAAAAAAAGUGCAUUUGGUAUUUAGCAGUUCGUUAAACUUCCGCUGACUGCAAUCUUUGCAGGUUUCUUAGCAGUUAGCAUUUGAAUAGUAGGUGCUUCCUCUGAUUGACCUACGCGGAGGAAUAUUUCAGUUCUCACCAUUGCUACUCGUUCUUCUUAUGCUUGACUAAAAAAUGGCAAUGGAGAAAGGCAAGUACGAGAAUUGGGGUACUACUUUCUGUUUCAUGAGCAUAUUGGGUGCGCCAAUAUUUCUUGUGAUAUCACGUUCAAGCAUCAACCAUGUGUUGCUUGUGGAAACCCCUCUUUGGUUGCAGGAAUCUGGUAAUGAUUCAAGCAAUGUCAUUACCUGAUGGUCCUAUGCAACCGCCAAUAUUUCUUUUGUGGUAAAUAGCGGCUGCCUCAAGGAAUGAGACUUAUCACAUGCCCUUGAGCGUAUCUAAUGACUGAAAAUAUAAAGGUAUUAGUCAGUUUAGUUGACAAUAGAUUUUAUUUGACGUUUGUAAAAAAUAAAGCAUAAAAUGGUCCAAAAAUAUUAGAUUGAAUAAGUGAUCAACAUUUUUAUGAUAACUUAGAUAAGAUGGUCAACAGUUAUA